AAUUUCCAAGUGAAAAGUUAUCUGGAGCCUGGAGUAUGGAAACAUAUGUGUAACUCAACACCUCAUGGAAUCUGGAUAAGAAUCAACCCGCCAUUUGGGAGAAACCAUAAGAUGAAGUCAUAGCCCCUUCUUUGACCACCUAGGGAAACCACCACAGCCACAGUCAAGUCAACAUUGGGAGUAAGUCAUUUUUGGGAACAAGCUUUUGGGAGUAUUCCAGCUCCUUUUCGUCCUGCCACCUGGGCCUACGGAGGGCAUGGGACCGCAUCAUCUUGAUGCUCAUUUCUGAGGAUGCAGCAGCAACCUCUUUAGGAGUCGUUUGGGAACAUUUAGUGUUGUGUUUUAAGUAACUAUGGUUUUUAUAUAUCAGACAUUUAUUUGAUACAUUAUGUUUAUUAAUUAUUUUUUUCAGAUUUAGCGUACAUUUGUUUUUAUAUGACAUAUUUGUAUACUAUUGUAUUUGGUUCCCAAACUUUGUAUCUACGGUAACUUCUUGUGCACAGGAAUAAGCCUAGAGAAAAUUAGGUUUUUAAUACUUUAUUAUUGCUUUGAUAUUGGUUUAUGUAAUUCGGGUAAAUUUAUUUUUUAAUAUUACUAGCUUGUUUCCCAAAUAUUUUACUGUUAUUCGCUUUAUUCCAUUUGUUCGGUUAAUUUAGGUCAUCGUCGGUAUUUAUCUCAACUUCAUUUCUACUUUAGUCAAUUGUAUAUUUAACUUUAUUUAUUCAUUAUUGUAUUUUCCCUUAGUGAGGCUUGGGCCUAUUUAUUUGUAGUAUUUUCAUCUUUGUCAGUUUCCUUUAGUUGUACGUAGCGGGCGUACUAUAACCAUUUGGUAGAAGACAUAUGUAAUUUUGUACACUAUAUGUAAGUAAGAGGUACUUAUACCUGUAAUUUUGUAACAGAUAACAUUAUUGUUGUUAUCUUAGAGAUAACUUUUUGUAUAACUUAUGUCAUUUUAGAGUCACAUGAUAUACACUUUGUGUAACUCAGAGAUUGUCAAAAAUCUAGUAGUUAUUUUUAAUAAAUAUGUAUUUAUUUUGUA
Molecule: long non-coding RNA, 1039 nt
Organism: Diabrotica virgifera virgifera (western corn rootworm)
Lineage: Eukaryota; Metazoa; Arthropoda; Insecta; Coleoptera; Chrysomelidae
Exons: 2
Source: RefSeq, a predicted model, not a curated record